RNAcentral lists this ribosomal RNA (402 nucleotides) under Triticum aestivum (bread wheat). RNAcentral describes it as "partial small subunit ribosomal RNA". Lineage: Eukaryota; Viridiplantae; Streptophyta; Magnoliopsida; Poales; Poaceae. The record is from RNAcentral.
UUCGUUGCUAAGAAUGGAUCCUUUCUAGAGAAGGAGUUUCUCUCGAAAGAAGUGAGUGGGAGGAAAGUAGAACUUGAUGAGGUAACUGUACCUGCUCCCUUAUUGGAAAGUAGUUCAUCACAGAAAUCAGUUCAUGUGAUUCCUACACCAAGUAGUGAGGAAGCUAAUGAUGAUGAUCAUGUAACUUCAGAACAAGUUACUACCGAACCUCGUAGGUCAACCAUAUUAAGAUCCGCACCAGCAUGGUACGGUAAUCCUGUUCUGGAGGUCAUGUUACUUGACCAUGACGAACCUACGAACUAUGAGGAAGCGAUGAUGAGCCCAGAUUCUGCGAAAUGGCUUGAGGCCAUGAAAUCUGAGAUGGGAUCCAUGUAUGAGAACAAAGUGUGGACUUUGGUUAAC